Molecule: ribosomal RNA, 501 nt
Filed under: uncultured bacterium
Lineage: Bacteria
Description: bacterial SSU rRNA
Rfam family: Bacterial small subunit ribosomal RNA
Source: RNAcentral
UCAGGAUGAACGCUAGCUACAGGCUAACACGAUGCAAGUCGAAGGGCAGCAUGGGUAGCUGCUAUUCAGAUGGCGACCGGCGCACGGGUGAGUAACGCGUAUCCAACCUUCCUGCCAGUAGGGAACAGCCCGGCGAAAGUCGGAUUAAUGCCCUAUGUUCUUCAAUGCGGACAUCUAAGUUGAAGGAAAGAUUCAUCGCUGGCAGAUGGGGAUGCGUCCGAUUAGCUUGCCGGCGGGGUAACGGCCCACCGGGCGACGAUCGGUAGGGGUUCUGAGAGGAAGGUCCCCCACACUGGUACUGAGACACGGACCAGACUCCUACGGGAGGCAGCAGUGAGGAAUAUUGGUCAAUGGGCGUAAGCCUGAACCAGCCAAGUAGCGUGCAGGAAUGACGGCCCUACGGGCUGUAAACUGCUUUUAUGCGGGGAUAAAGUGCGGCACGUGUGCCGCUUUGCAGGUACCGCAUGAAUAAGGACCGGCUAAUUCCGUGCCAGCCGCGGC